UGCGGCGCUGCAAGAUGAGCAUCGGCAACGUGUCAUCAUUCUGCGCUGCGUGCACACCAAUCACAAGCUGGAAUCUCUGUCAUGUGAUCUUUUUCGUGACACAUCGUCGCCAUGUUUUGUUAGGGAAAUAUGCCCAACCUGACAAAUCGAAAGUUUGCAGUGCUGUUCUCCAAGUACAUUGUAUUCCGGUACAGUUCUGUAAGGUUAUGGAAUGAACAGCGGUGUAAUGGUUCAACUUGCUGAAAUAAACAAACCUUCCUGAUAAGAAGACAGGAGCAGCCAAGGAACAGAUCUGUGUCCUGGGUCCUGUUAAUGAAUUUACCUCACAGCCGCUGCCAAGAUUGUAAUGCAUUACAAGCGGCUUCCUUCAUGAAGAAAAAAAAAGUUACUAGGUGCAAGAUGCAGAACAGGAUCAUUCCACUUAAGCACCUACUGCCCAAACCACCACACUGUGAUCAUCAUCCCGUACACAGUCUCGAAAUCCACACAUCUUGCCAAAGGAAACAACCACAUUGCUUGACAUGUAGUAUUACAAAAUUUCCUAAACCAACUCCAAGAAAGGAUUGAUGAACAUAAUCCACUAAAUCCUUGGUCCUUUCCAAAUGACCCACAGUGGGGCCCAAAUGAAAGGCGUCCUGUACCAAUUCCCGACACCAAGGGAAGGCUAGUAAACAUGGGAUGGUGUAGGUGUCACAACUGCAACUUGAUGCCAUCGGUAGAAGAAAGCAUUUGUUGUUGUGAGUUUCAAAAUAUUAUCCAUUUCAAACAACAACAUGAAUGUGUUGUUCCUCAUCCGGAAGUAUCAAGAUUGGUACUAGAUGAUCAACUCCUAAGACACCAUAUAGACACAGCUAACCUGCUCCCUUAUAAGGAGAUGCAAAAAAAUCCAAAUGUCAGAGAAUGCUACUUUUUUAGAAUCAAGUCUAUGCACUCAAAGAGAACCACCAGACGCGGAGGGAAAUGGCACAAGUAAACAUAUAAGAACAAGGGGACAGUGAACAGCGAAAGCUCUUCCACAACAGCUACAACCUCAACCGAAAUUCACCAAAAAGAAGUGGGUUCUGUGCAUCAUUGAGAUGAGGAGGAGGCUGCCAAACUGUAGGUGGUAGUAAACAGUGACCUCCUCAUAGAGAUGAUAAACGAACGGAUGCCACUGUGGGACAAAUCCCAUCUCCAGCAUCACAACAAAAUCGCCUGCAAGCGGCUGUGGGAGGAUAUUUUCCGGGCACUUGUCACUACCAGGAACAGCCUAUCCUCUUUAGAGAAAGAGAAAUCAGGACUGUCUCUAGGCUUGCUGAUCCAGAUAUUCCACCACAUGCCAGAACUCCCGGUACAAUUGUCUUAAGUAUUGGAGAGCAAUCGAAGGAAGCUUCCCUAUCAGCUAACUUUUUCAACAUUUCAGCUCCAACAGGGGUUAGUGCCCUUUUUGGUGAGCUGUUUCAGGGGCAGAGAAGAUAUGUCUCGGAUUUUGAAGAUCUUGUCACUGUGCUAAGAGAUGCCCUGACAAGAAUGAAACAACUCAUGAUGAGGUAUAAGGAGGAAAAUACCUGCCUGCUUGCCUGACUGGAGGGGGCAAAGACAGCAGAAGCCCCUUCUACCCAUCUUGGGUUUUCAAAAAUCUUCUUCCUGACAUGGAGCACAUGCUGAUUGAGAAUCAGAACGAGUUUCACAGUAUUCUCCUACAAAACCUCCCUGAAAUCAUGCGCCGCCCCUCCAACCCCCACCUACCCCAGUCCGAUGCCAGGCCCCAUUCUAUAUCCCUUCCCAGCCCCAGUCCUAUUCCCACCCCCAGGGCCAGUCCUAUGCCCCUCCGCAGUCCCAGUCCAUUUUCACCCCCCUGCCACAAUCCCAUUCCAACACCUAAGCCUGGGCCAAAUAUUUUCCCAAAUUGAUUCCCUGUUAAAACCUCCUCCCAGCCCCAUGCCCAGCCCCAGUCUUAUGCCCAUCUCCAGUCCUAUGCCCUUCCCCAGCCUCUAUCCUAUGCACCUUCCCAGCCCCAGUCCUUUUUCACAAUCCCAUUUCACCACCCUGCCACAAUCCAAUUCCACCCCGACUCAGCCUCUUUCCCACUCUCAGCCCCAUGAUCUAUGCCUGGGCCAAAUAUUUUAUCAAAUUGAUUCCCCUUGCCAAAAAUUCUCCCAGCCCACUCCCUCUUUUCAAUCCAUUCCUCAUUGCACUACCCUUCCUUCCCAGUCCCUAAGCCAAACCCCAUCUUUUUUCCACUCCCCUCUUUUCAAUUCCCACACCGUCCACACCUGUCACCCACCAUGUCUCCUAUUCCGAAUCUUAUUCCCUCCACACCCCCAUCUCUUUUCCCAGAGGCUUUUAGAGAAGGCAGGAGGAUAAUCUGCCAAACUCUGAGAUACAGAGUCUAGCAUCUACCUUAGAACCAGUUGGUAACAGAGACACUAAUUUGCGUCAGCUCUGAGGAUGACUCGCGAUGAAUAGACCAAAUUACACCAGAAAAAAACUGUUCUUUGUAUUGUCCAAAAUGUUUUUAAAAAAUUACAUUACUGACAUUUCAGUACAGCACAAAGUUUUAAACAGUUUUUUUUUUUUUAU
Hyla sarda is the source of this 2562-nucleotide long non-coding RNA. RefSeq lists it as uncharacterized. The record is from RefSeq and is a predicted model, not a curated record. NCBI's taxonomy places the organism in Eukaryota, Metazoa, Chordata, Amphibia, Anura, Hylidae. The transcript has 7 exons.